RNAcentral lists this ribosomal RNA (473 nucleotides) under uncultured bacterium. RNAcentral describes it as "SSU rRNA". It matches the Rfam family "Bacterial small subunit ribosomal RNA", at positions 26 to 518 of the family's 1533-position model. The record is from RNAcentral.
AGGACGAACGCUGGCGGCGUGCUUAACACAUGCAAGUCGAGCGGAAAGGCCCUUCGGGGUACUCGAGCGGCGAACGGGUGAGUAACACGUGAGCAACCUGCCCUUAGCUUCGGGAUAGCUCCGGGAAACCGGAAUUAAUACCGAAUAUGACUUUGGCUGACAUCAGCAGAAGUGGAAAGUUUUUCGGCUAGGGAUGGACUCGCGGCCUAUCAGCUAGUUGGUGAGGUAACGGCCCACCAAGGCGACGACGGGUAGCCGGCCUGAGAGGGCGACCGGCCACACUGGGACUGAGACACGGCCCAGACUCCUACGGGAGGCAGCAGUGGGGAAUAUUGCGCAAUGGGCGAAAGCCUGACGCAGCGACGCCGCGUGGGGGAUGAAUGCCUUCGGGUUGUAAACCCCUUUCAGCAGGACGAAGCGAAAGUGACGGUACCUGCAGAAGAAGCGCCGGCUAACUACGUGCCAGCAGCCGC